UACGUAGGGUGCGAGCGUUGCCCGGAUUUAUUGGGCGUAAAGGGCGCGUAGGCGGCUCGGCACGUCCGUUGUGAAAUCGCCCGGCUCAACUGGGCGGGGUCAGCGGAUACGGUCGAGCUUGAGCAAGCUAGGGGGCAAUGGAAUUCCCGGUGUAGUGGUGGAAUGCGUAGAUAUCGGGAGGAACACCAGUGGCGAAGGCGGUCUGCUGGGCCGUUGCUGACGCUGAGGCGCGACAGCGUGGGGAGCAAACAGG
This 253-nucleotide ribosomal RNA is filed under the name uncultured bacterium. Its description in RNAcentral is "partial 16S ribosomal RNA". It matches the Rfam family "Bacterial small subunit ribosomal RNA", at positions 524 to 776 of the family's 1533-position model. The record is from RNAcentral.